This 207-nucleotide ribosomal RNA is filed under the name uncultured fungus. RNAcentral describes it as "partial small subunit ribosomal RNA". The stretch from base 98 to 207 matches the Rfam family "Eukaryotic small subunit ribosomal RNA", at positions 751 to 864 of the family's 1831-position model. The record is from RNAcentral. Lineage: Eukaryota; Fungi.
GGAGCGGGCCGCCGCGUCCGCCUCGUGCGUGACGCGGUGACCGCCCCAUCCUCGCGGGGAAGCGGCGGCAUUCACUUGCCGUCGUGGACUCGCGUCCUUUACUGUGAAAAAAUUAGAGUGUUUAAAGCAGGCUCGCCGCUUGAAUACAUUAGCAUGGAAUAAUGAGAUAGGACUUCGGUGCUAUUUUGUUGGUUGCGUACCGAGGUA